Molecule: ribosomal RNA, 440 nt
Filed under: uncultured bacterium
Lineage: Bacteria
Description: partial 16S ribosomal RNA
Rfam family: Bacterial small subunit ribosomal RNA
Source: RNAcentral
CUACGGGUCGCUGCAGUGGGGAAUAUUGGACAAUGGGCGAAAGCCUGAUCCAGCAAUACCGCGUGAAUGAUGAAGGCCUUAGGGUUGUAAAGUUCUUUUAGUUGGAAAGAUAAUGACGGUACCAACAGAAAAAGCCCCGGCUAACUCCGUGCCAGCAGCCGCGGUAAGACGGAGGGGGCUAGCGUUGUUCGGAAUUACUGGGCGUAAAGGGCGCGUAGGCGGAUUAGUAAGUUGGGAGUGAAAGCCCGGGGCUUAACCUCGGAACUGCUUUCAAAACUGCUAGUCUUGAGUGAAGUAGGGGAUGAUGGAAUUCCUAGUGUAGAGGUGAAAUUCUUAGAUAUUAGGAGGAACACCGGUGGCGAAGGCGGUCAUCUGGACUUCAACUGACGCUGAGGCGCGAAAGCGUGGGGAGCAAACAGGAUUAGAUACCCCUGGUAGUC